GACACUUCCUACGGCUCCCAUGGGCUCUCAGAAGGCGGAAAAAAGAUGAACGAUGUAAUUCCAUCCCCAGGCUGAAACACAUUAGCGCGUUUGGCAAGUGCUCUAUCAGAGGGCCAUUAGACUGAGGCUCGUGCAUGAGGGGAUAGCAUGCUUUUACUUUCACUCUCUUUGUAAUAAAAAACGAUUUCCCGGUCGGAAUAUUAUCGCUUUUUUACGAGAAAAAUGGCAUAAAAAUUGAUUUUAAACAGCGGUUGACAUGCUUCGAAGUACGGUAAUGGAAUAUUUAGAAAUGUUUUGUCACGAAAUGCGCCAUGCUCGUCACCCUUAUUUACCCUUUCGGAUAGUGUCUUGAACGCACGAACAAAACGCCGCUAUUUGGAUAUAACAAUGGAUUAUUUGGGACCAAACCAACAUUUGUUAUUGAAGUAGAAGUCCUGGGAGUGCAUUCUGACUAAGAACAGCAAAGUUUCGACCCGAUGAUUCGUCUGACAAACAAAGAACUUUGCGUCCUGCAGGCCCAGAUCAAAGCUGUCGAGACAUUCAAUGACGUCAUCUUCACAGACUAAUCAACUCUGGCCCUUGAGCAAUUUGCUCAAAAUUGCUACAGAAAAAAGGAAGAAGAUCAAGCAAGCCGAUUCCCAAGCAUCUGCUCAAACUCCAUGUGUGGGGGGCAAUUUCUCGCCAGAGACCAGGCCCAUAUUUGAUUUGAUGGUAUCAUGGCUCGAGAUUUUUUUGAGGAAGAAAUCAUCAAGAGAUAUGCUGGACCCUAUGUCCGAGAGACAAUGACCCAAAACACACUGCCUCCUGGGUUUGCAUUGCAAAUGAGGGCUUUUACCCGCGGUCAUGGAGCUGGGUGGAAGUGCAACUAAAAUGUAGUUUAAAUAAACAUCUGCAUUUUGAAUGUCUUUUUUGUCGUUAUUUUAUUAUCGAAAGCAUAAAGAUGUUGAUGAAGAAAUACUGUACUGCUGUUUUGAGUUAGAAAUGUAACACUUUAGAGUACUUAAGCAUUGAAUAAAAGUUGGGGGAUGUUCACUCCUACAGUAGCCGGGCUAUAAAGAGUCUAUUGUCCUGCUUAUAGGGCUACACCUGCUACAGUACACUUUUGAAAAACAAGUGUUUGAAAACCUGUUUUCAAAAUGCCUCCAGCUGUCCAUCACUACGUUAAAUAAAAACACAGCAUCUUGUUUACAUUUUUUAUUGUAACCUCAAUGUCACAAGUAAUUUGUAUCUACCUUUACAAUUACUUUUAGAGUUUGGGAUUUACAAAUGUGUGCUUUUCAUGUAAUUUUUUGUUAAAUCCAGUUCGGAUUUAAGUAUAACUUUUGACUGACGCCUUAAGUGAGAGGUCUAAUGCUUUAAUAUUUAAUAAUUUCUGCCCUCAGAAUUCAUAUUUAAGGGGCAUUUUUCGCGCCAUUAUUGGUUACAUUGUUUUAGUUUGAACUUGCAGACAGGCACUAAGAACAGCGGGAACAUUCCCUAGUCAGCACCAUUAUUAGUGCAAUGCCCCUUAAAGUGUUGCUCUGUGCUACCCAGUGCAAUGCCCCUUCCUCCUCCUCCCUUCUAGUGAUGGGUCAUUCGCGAACGAGCCGGCUCUGGGAGCCUUUGGGAGCCAGCUUGCAUAUCAGAAGCGCCAAAUCUAUUUAUAGAACUAUAAAAAAAUUAAGAUAUGAAUAAUCAAAAGAUUUAAAUGAAUAGAAUUAACUAAUUCAAAGAACUAAAAAAUAUAUAUGAUAAUAUAGGCCUAAAUGCUCAAGCGCGCACAGACAUUCCAUCUGACUGUCUGCUCAGAUUAACAGCCUCACCUGUUGUUCCUGUCAACAGACACGCAGUGUCAACCAACGAACCAAAGAUGUGUGAGGGAGGGCCGAGCCAACUCACUCACAGUCACACACUUAGCAACCGAGGAGAGAGAGGAAGGACAGCUGUGAAAACAUAUUUUUUAAAGAGCCGUUUGGGAGCCAAAAGAGCCGGCUCUUUUUGGUGAGCUGAGCCGAACGAGCCGGCUCACUGAAAAGAGCCGGAAUGCCCAUCACUACUCCCUUCCCCAUGGACCAGGUCCGUCUU
This 2064-nucleotide long non-coding RNA is filed under the name Salmo salar (Atlantic salmon). RNAcentral's name for it is "lncRNA (ENSSSAG00000082354.1)". The record is from RNAcentral. Lineage: Eukaryota; Metazoa; Chordata; Actinopteri; Salmoniformes; Salmonidae.